UUUCUCUUCGAUGUCGUCUAGUGCAUUGAGGAGCAUGUCGCGGUUAAGUUUGACGUUCAGUGGCAUCUUGGAGCGGCGUAAGUUGGUUACAUUUACUUCGGCGGGUGCCAUCGCUUCGACUCCAUAGGCCAUCGAGAAAGGGGUAGCUUUUGUCGCUCCGCGCGGAGUUGUCCUAUGGGACCACAGGACACUGUCCAGUUCAUCGGCCCCACAACCCUUCUUCAAGUCGA
RNAcentral lists this long non-coding RNA (230 nucleotides) under Brassica napus (rape). Its description in RNAcentral is "long non-coding RNA (BNAP_LNC016128)". Lineage: Eukaryota; Viridiplantae; Streptophyta; Magnoliopsida; Brassicales; Brassicaceae. The record is from RNAcentral.